RNAcentral lists this ribosomal RNA (499 nucleotides) under uncultured bacterium. RNAcentral describes it as "bacterial SSU rRNA". It matches the Rfam family "Bacterial small subunit ribosomal RNA", at positions 28 to 525 of the family's 1533-position model. The record is from RNAcentral.
GAUGAACGCUGGCGGCGUGCCUAACACAUGCAAGUCGUACGAGAAAGCCGGCUUCGGCUGGUGAGUAAAGUGGCGCACGGGUGAGUAACGCGUGGAUAAUCUGCCCUUAAGUGUGGAAUAACGUACCGAAAGGUGCGCUAAUACCGCAUAAUGCCUGGCAACACAAGUUGUCCGGCCAAAGAAGGCCUCUGUUUACAAGCUUUCGCUUCAGGAUGAGUCCGCGUACCAUUAGCUUGUUGGUGGGGUAAUGGCCUACCAAGGCUGCGAUGGUUAGCUGGUCUGAGAGGAUGAUCAGCCACACUGGAACUGAGACACGGUCCAGACUCCUACGGGAGGCAGCAGUGAGGAAUAUUGCGCAAUGGGGGCAACCCUGACGCAGCAACGCCGCGUGAGUGAGGAAGGUUUUCGGACUGUAAAGUACUAUAUUGGGGAAGAACACAAUGACGGUACCCAAGAGAAAAAGCCCCGGCUAACUACGUGCCAGCAGCCGCGGUAAACA